UUCAUGAUUGUUUGGUUAUUGAAGCUCUGAUAUCAUAUUAAAAAAUUAUCUUGAUCUAAAAUCAAUUAAGCUUUUAAGUUUUUAAGUUGAGAUGGUUUUUUGACAUGAUAUCAGAGUUUGUUGACCAAGUAAUUAGAA
Molecule: microRNA precursor, 138 nt
Filed under: Populus trichocarpa (black cottonwood)
Lineage: Eukaryota; Viridiplantae; Streptophyta; Magnoliopsida; Malpighiales; Salicaceae
Description: miR6470 stem-loop (ptc-MIR6470)
Source: miRBase by way of RNAcentral